This 1254-nucleotide long non-coding RNA is filed under the name Canis lupus familiaris (dog). Its description in RNAcentral is "lncRNA (ENSCAFG00030021247.1)". Lineage: Eukaryota; Metazoa; Chordata; Mammalia; Carnivora; Canidae. The record is from RNAcentral.
AACGCUUCCUUGUCCUCAAACGUCUGUGUCUGGAGCGUCAUCACUGCUUCAUUUCCUAAUAGUGACUCUGAGCGUGGUUUGUUCUUUCUUUUUUUCUUUCUUUCUCUUUCUUUCUUUCUUUCUUUCUUUCUUUCUUUCUUUCUUUCUUUCUUUCUUUCUUUUCUUCUUUCUUUCUUUCCUUUUUCUUCUUUCUUUUUUCUUUCUUUUUCUUUCUUUCUUUUCUUUUCUUUCCCUUUUCUUCUUUCUUCUUCCUUUCCUUUAUCAUCUUUCUUUCUUCCUUUCUUUUUCUUCUUUUUUCUUCUUUCUUUCUUCUCUCUUUUUUUCUUUCUUUCUCUUCUUUCUUUCUUUCUUCUUUCUCUCUUUCCUUUCUCUUCUUUCUUCUUUCUUUCCUUUUUCUUCUUUCUUUCUUUCUUUCUUUCUUUCUCUUUCCCUUUUCUUCUUUCCUUUUUCUUCUUUCUUCUUUCUUUCUUUUUCUUCUUUCUUUCUUUCUUUCCCUUCUUUCUUUCUUCUUUCUUUCCUUUUUGUUUCUUUCUUUCCCUUUUCUUCUUUCUUUUCUUUCCUUUUUCUUCUUUCUUUCUUUCUUCCUUUCUUUUUCUUCUUUUUUCUUCUCUUUCUUCUUUCCUUUUCUUUCUUUCUUUUUCUUCUUCCUUUCUUUUCUUUCUUCUUUCUUUCUUUCUUUCUUCUUUCCUUUUUCUUCUUUCUUCCUUUCUUUUAUUUCUUUUUCUUUCUUUCCUUUUUCUUCUUUCUUUCUUUCCUUUUUUUCUUUCUUUCUUUCUUUCUUUCUUCUUUCUUUCUUUCUUUCUUUCUUUCUUUCUUUCUUUCUUUCCUUCUUUUUCUUUCCUCUCUUCUUUCUUUCCUUUUUCUUCUUUCUUUCUUUCUUUCUUUCUUUCUUUCUUUCUUUCUUUCUUUCUUCUUUUUCUUUCCUCUCUUCUUUCUCUUUCUUUCUUUCUUUCUUUCUUUCUUUCUUUCUUUCUUUCUUUCUUUCUUUCUUUCAAGACAGUGGAUAAAGCAGGACUAAGCUACGGACAGCACUCCCAAGGAGACCAUCCUGCCAACCUUCCUGGCAUGCAACAGGUGGCAGUUACCAAGUGCCCUCCGGCGUCUUCCAGCUUGUGGGGAACCACAAGCAUCGAACCUGCCCACGAGGCCCCCGGGACCCCGAGGUGGGUGGAAGAGAAAAACAAAGACAAGGUCAACACCCAGAUUUGGGCUGAUGCUCUCCGGAGGACAAAAAGGCAGCCACCUCGUGGAUGA